CAGCAGCCGCGGUAAUACGAAGGGUGCAAGCGUUAAUCGGAAUCACUGGGCGUAAAGCGCACGUAGGCGGCUUGGUAAGUUAGAGGUGAAAGCCUGGAGCUCAACUCCAGAAUUGCCUUUAAGACUGCCGAGCUAGCAGGUGAGAGAGGUAAGUGGAAUUCCGAGUGUAGAGGUGAAAUUCGUAGAUAUUCGGAAGAACACCAGUGGCGAAGGCGGCUUACUGGCUCAUACUGGACGCUGAGGUGCGAAAGCGUGGGGAGCAAACAGGAUUAGAUACCCCGGUAGUCCCUGUCUCUUAUAC
Molecule: ribosomal RNA, 301 nt
Filed under: uncultured bacterium
Lineage: Bacteria
Description: partial 16S ribosomal RNA
Rfam family: Bacterial small subunit ribosomal RNA
Source: RNAcentral